RNAcentral lists this long non-coding RNA (407 nucleotides) under Phaseolus vulgaris (common bean). RNAcentral's name for it is "long non-coding RNA (PVUL_LNC001502)". Lineage: Eukaryota; Viridiplantae; Streptophyta; Magnoliopsida; Fabales; Fabaceae. The record is from RNAcentral.
AAUUAUCAACUUUUUCACAAUCAACAACUUCCUUGACUACUUCCUCGACUAUUUCCUUAUUGACCAACAGAGACACCAAUUGACCUACUUGAUCUGACUCCCAAACAAACAAGUUCCUUCUCCAUUCCAACUUUCAACUCCAACUAACACCGAACCAUUCCCCAAUUUGAUUCAACAUAUUAUCUUUAUUUAAAGAUAGACCUUACAACCUUGGAAAUUCAUUCCUUAGCUCUACUCUCUCCAACCACUUAUCCUCCCAAAAUUUUACAUUUUUAUCUAUACCCAAAUCCCACGUGCCAUUGUCAUUCACAUCCAAAUCUUUCUCGAAGGUGUCACGCUCUUUGCAAAGAGGGGCAUCGAGGAUUGAUGGAGAGUGGUGUUCUGAGCCAUUCUCAUGCUUCCCUUCU